CCACAAAGGCGUUGCCCAGCAGGCCCACGGCGAAGGCCGCCAGAUAUCCCUUCCACAAGAUAUUGUGGUAGAACUGAUGUCACAGUGCCCUCUGAGUCUGUCCCCAGUGUUCCCAGGUAUGAGUGGCUGAUGUGCCGGGCAACCCGGUGUGGAAAAUUUGAGGUGGAUUAUCAAUUUUGUUCGAUUAAGACUUGUUAACAAUGAACUCCUCCAUGAAGCAGGCACUGUUUCAGGCACUGCAAGAGAUGCCAUUCUGUUUUACGCCUAAGAAAUCAAAUGGUUACAGUUUAUGUAUUUGAUAUGAGAAAGGAGAAUUCUAUUUCAUCACCUUGGUGAAUAAAUGGUUCAUUUAAAAGGCAAGAUUUUUGACUAGAAAGAGACUCAAUUGGAGCUAUGCUCUUGGAACUAUCACCUUUAGUAGCAGUAUGAAGACUGGAAUGGCAUGAUUGGAGACAGACAGCCCAGUCAAGAAGCUGUAACCAUAGUCCAACAGAUGAGUAAUGGGGU
This 507-nucleotide long non-coding RNA is filed under the name Homo sapiens (human). Its description in RNAcentral is "HSALNT0019891". Lineage: Eukaryota; Metazoa; Chordata; Mammalia; Primates; Hominidae. The record is from RNAcentral.